This 502-nucleotide long non-coding RNA is filed under the name Vigna radiata. RNAcentral's name for it is "long non-coding RNA (VRAD_LNC015426)". The record is from RNAcentral. Lineage: Eukaryota; Viridiplantae; Streptophyta; Magnoliopsida; Fabales; Fabaceae.
UCACAUGGCAAGAGUAUGUGUCUCACAAAAUGGGAACAACUUGGAGACUACUCUAGGCAAGGGCUCACGAAUUUCUAGAAGGUUUGCUCUCCAAGCUAGGUUUUUACCUUAGAUCCACAUAUCUCCUUAGGGCCCAUCUCCUUUAGGCCAAAACCAUAUACUACAAUCUGCGACCCAAAUACAAGACCCAAAAUAAACCCUAGACUACUUGACCCAUUAUAUAGACUUAAAAUAAGCUUAAUCUACUAAGAAAUCACUAAUUACCCAUGAUGAUAAGAGCUUGGGCCCAACUUUCAUGAAUGAAUCCAACUCUUCUUGAGUAUGCUUAGUCAUGGCUAGGAGGUAUGUCAUCAUCCUCUCCUUCUUAAAAAGGAUUUGUCCUCAAAUCUUUAUGUUUCUCCCUUUUCUUCUUCUUCUUCUUCUUCUUCUUCUUCUUCUUCUUCUUCUUCUUCUUCUUCUUCUUCUUCUUCUUCUUCUUCUUCUUCUUCUUCUUCUUCUUNNN